Molecule: ribosomal RNA, 470 nt
Filed under: uncultured bacterium
Lineage: Bacteria
Description: bacterial SSU rRNA
Rfam family: Bacterial small subunit ribosomal RNA
Source: RNAcentral
GACGAACGCUGGCGGCGCGCCUAAUGCAUGCAAGUCGAGCGACGCAUGCCCGUGGGUAACCACUAGGUAUGACGGAGCGGCGAACGGGUGAGUAACACGUGAGUAACCUGCCCCGAAGACCGGGAUAGCCCGGGAAACCCGGAUUAAUACCGGAUACCCUCUCUGGAUCGCAUGGUCCGGUGAGGAAAUGCCUUUGUGCUUCGGGAUGGACUCGCGGCCUAUCAGCUUGUUGGUGAGGUAACGGCUCACCAAGGCUACGACGGGUAGCUGGUCUGAGAGGACGAUCAGCCACACUGGGACUGAGACACGGCCCAGACUCCUACGGGAGGCAGCAGCAGGGAAUCUUGUCCAAUGGGCGCAAGCCUGAGACAGCGACGCCGCGUGAGGGAUGAAGGCCUUCGGGUUGUAAACCUCUUUCAGGAGGGACGAAAUUGACGGUACCUCCAGAAGAAGCCCCGGCCAACUACGUG